GGAAAUCUAAAAGAAAGUAGGCGGAGUCCUUUUUGAUUCCAGCAUCUCCCGAAUUUUUCAUAUCUCGAUUUGAGCCAAUUUUCGGCAUCCGAAAUCGAGAGGGAAUUUUUCGCGGGAUUGGCUGGAUUCAAAUUUGAUGUGACAGUUUUAAUAU
Small nucleolar RNA from Caenorhabditis elegans, 154 nucleotides. The record is from Ensembl. NCBI's taxonomy places the organism in Eukaryota, Metazoa, Nematoda, Chromadorea, Rhabditida, Rhabditidae.